Molecule: ribosomal RNA, 442 nt
Filed under: uncultured bacterium
Lineage: Bacteria
Description: partial 16S ribosomal RNA
Rfam family: Bacterial small subunit ribosomal RNA
Source: RNAcentral
CCUACGGGUGGCAGCAGUGGGGAAUAUUGGGCAAUGGGCGCAAGCCUGACCCAGCAAUGCCGCGUGAAGGAAGAAGGCUUUCGGGUUGUAAACUUCCUUGACAGAGGAAGUGCAGAAGACGGUACCCUGAAAACAAGCCACGGCUAACUACGUGCCAGCAGCCGCGGUAAUACGUAGGUGGCAAGCGUUGUCCGGAUUUACUGGGUGUAAAGGGCGUGUAGCCGGGAAGGCAAGUCAGAUGUGAAAGCCGGAGGCUCAACCUCCGAAUUGCAUUUGAAACUGGUUUUCUUGAGUACUGGGGAGGCAGACGGAAUUCCUUGUGUAGCGGUGAAAUGCGUAGAUAUUACGAGGAACACCAGUGGCGAAGGCGGCUUACUGGACGACAACUGACACUGAUGCUCGAAAGCGUGGGGAGCAAACAGGAUUAGAUACCCGUGUAGUC